GAGUUUGAUCCUGGCUCAGGACGAACGCUGGCGGCGUGUUUAACACAUGCAAGUGGAGCGACGAACCGGGGCUUGCCCCGGGGCAAAGCCGCGAACGGGUGAGUAACACGUGGGUAACCUACCCCGAUGACCGGGACAACCCGAGGAAACUCGAGCUAAUACCGGAUGUGCUCCUUGACCAUGAGGUCAAGGCGUAAAGAUAGCUUCGGCCUUCGCAUCGGGACGGGCCCGCGGCCCAUUAGCUUGUUGGUGGGGUAACGGCCUACCAAGGCGACGAUGGGUAGCUGGUCUGAGAGGACGAUCAGCCACACUGGGACUGAGACACGGCCCAGACUCCUACGGGAGGCAGCAGUGGGGAAUCUUGCGCAAUGCGCGAAAGCGUGACGCAGCAACGCCGCGUGGGGGAAGAAGGCCUUCGGGUUGUAAACCCCUUUCAGUUGGGACGAAGCUUCGUCGGUGAAUAGCCGGCUGGAGUGACGGUACCUUCACAAGAAGCCCCGGCUAACUACGUGCCAGCAGCCGCGGUAAUACGUAGGGGGCUAGCGUUGUCCGGAAUCAUUGGGCGUAAAGCGCGUGUAGGCGGUUCGGUAAGUCCGCUGUGAAAGUCGGGGGCUCAACCCUCGAAAGCCGGUGGAUACUGUCGGGCUAGAGUACGGAAGAGGCGAGUGGAAUUCCUGGUGUAGCGGUGAAAUGCGCAGAUAUCAGGAGGAACACCAAUUGCGAAGGCAGCUCGCUGGGACGUAACUGACGCUGAGACGCGAAAGCGUGGGGAUCAAACUCAGUUAGAUACCAGCGUAGUGCAUUCGCAAUUGGAUGGGCUCUAGAUGUGGGGGCUGUUGACCGCCUCCGCAGGAAAUCCACUGCAUUAAUCCGUACUCUAGGGGAGCAGUAUCCCAAGGCUAAAGAUCAAAGGAAUUGACGGGGUCCCACACAAGCAGCGGAGCAUGUGGCUUAAUUCGACGCAACCAGAAGAACCUUACACUGGGCUUGACAUGUAGUUGUCCGGCGUGGAAACACGUGUUGUUUUCGGGGCACUUUCACAAAGGGUGCAUCACUCCAGUCAGCUAUUCUCGUGAGAAGUUUGGUUAAAUCUGAAAGGGAGCGCAACCCGAAGGCCAUGUUGCCACCAGUUAGUUGGGGACUCAUGCGAGUCUGCCGGUGACAAAGAUGAGGAAGGUGGGGAUGACGUCAAGUCAUCAUGCCGUGUUUCAGUCAGCAGUACACACGUGGUCCUUUCAGACCACAGAGGCAUGCGAUCCCGCGAGGUGGAGCGAAUCCCCAACAACGUAAUUCGGUUCGGAUUGGAGGCGGAAAGUAGCCUGCAGGAAGGUGGAGUUCUUAGUAUUAGGGUCUCAGCGCUCAUCCGGUGAAUACGUUAGUUUCCUCGGGUCACACCGGUCAGUCACACCACGGAAGCAAGCAACACUCGAACCCGGUGGCCUAACCCUUGGGGCAAGGAGCCGUUGAAGGUGGGGCUCGCAUGGGGGAGAAGUCGUAACAAGGUAGCCGUUCCGGAAGGAGCGACCUCAUCCUCUCGAGGAUAAUCCUCGACCGCAGGUAAAUG
This 1564-nucleotide ribosomal RNA is filed under the name uncultured bacterium. RNAcentral's name for it is "partial 16S ribosomal RNA". It matches the Rfam family "Bacterial small subunit ribosomal RNA". The record is from RNAcentral.